UUCAGAUCCUAAAUGAAACAGCAAGAAGAUCUGUCAGCCACAGCAAUGGAGGAUAAAAGAGAACUAAAACUAAACAGCAAUAGCUAAUUGCCAUCAAUUCAUGGAAGAAUUCAACUCACAACUAUUUGCUUAAAUGAGGCUUACAGCUGACAAGACAAAGGUGUUGUUCUGUUUAUGGAAUGUAUCACAUUGGAGGACGUACGUAAGAGAAAGUUAAUCGGUACAAUAUACAAAACGUAAUGCUGAAAAGUCCCUAUUUUGGGAAAAACAGGGGUAAGGUGACAUGAAGACACGAAAAAAAAAGGGGACAGCAAACAUUAGAUAAAUUGAAGCCUGCGCAUGUGUAUUGUAUAGGUUAUAUAAGCAUUAUCUUAAUGUUGAUUGGAUGAAAGCUAAUGAAUAUAUAUUAUGGGAAGGUAGCAAAAACCAAAUGAACAAGGGUCCCAAGUCCAGAAACUCAGAAGGGAAGAAAAGCUUCCUGGUACCCCAGAACUUGAUAAGUUGGACCCCUAUCUGUUCCAUCUUAUCUGUUUUAUUACGUCAUAUGUAUAUGACCAGAAACUAAGCGACAAUAAUUCUUUUUUAAAAUUCAUAAAUAAAAGCAAGAAUUGGGUGGA
Long non-coding RNA from Chelonia mydas (Green sea turtle), 617 nucleotides. RefSeq lists it as uncharacterized. The transcript has 2 exons. Lineage: Eukaryota; Metazoa; Chordata; Testudines; Cheloniidae. The record is from RefSeq and is a predicted model, not a curated record.